This 73-nucleotide transfer RNA is filed under the name Petrotoga olearia. RNAcentral's name for it is "tRNA-Lys". It matches the Rfam family "tRNA". From Rfam's summary of the family: Transfer RNA (tRNA) molecules are approximately 80 nucleotides in length. Their secondary structure includes four short double-helical elements and three loops (D, anti-codon, and T loops). The record is from RNAcentral. Lineage: Bacteria; Thermotogati; Thermotogota; Thermotogae; Petrotogales; Petrotogaceae.
GGGCCAUUAGCUCAGCUGGUAGAGCGACUGACUCUUAAUCAGUAGGUCGUGGGUUCGACUCCCGCAUGGCCCA